This 211-nucleotide ribosomal RNA is filed under the name uncultured Actinomycetales bacterium. RNAcentral describes it as "partial 16S ribosomal RNA". It matches the Rfam family "Bacterial small subunit ribosomal RNA", at positions 118 to 334 of the family's 1533-position model. Lineage: Bacteria; Bacillati; Actinomycetota; Actinomycetes; Actinomycetales. The record is from RNAcentral.
UGGGUGAUCUGCCCUGCACUUCGGGAUAAGCCUGGGAAACUGGGUCUAAUACCGGAUAGGACGAUGGUUUGGAUGCCAUUGUGGAAAGUUUUCGGUGCAAGAUGAGCCCGCGGCCUAUCAGCUUGUUGGUGGGGUAAUGGCCUACCAAGGCGACGACGGGUAGCCGGCCUGAGAGGGUGGACGGCCACAUUGGGACUGAGACACGGCCCAG